This 200-nucleotide ribosomal RNA is filed under the name uncultured bacterium. RNAcentral's name for it is "partial 16S ribosomal RNA". It matches the Rfam family "Bacterial small subunit ribosomal RNA", at positions 524 to 723 of the family's 1533-position model. The record is from RNAcentral.
GACGAAGGUGGCAACCGUUGUUCGGAAUUACUGGGCAUAAAGCGCGCGUAGGCGGCGACAUCAGUCAGGUGUGAAAUCCCUCGGCCCAACCGAGGAACUGCGCUUGAUACUGUGUCGCUUGAGGACAGGAGGGGAGCGUGGAAUUCCUGGUGGAGCGGUGAAAUGCGUUGAUAUCAGGAGGAACACCGGCGGCGAAGGCG